UACGUAGGGGGCAAGCGUUGUCCGGAAUCAUUGGGCGUAAAGAGCGUGUAGGCGGCUCGGUAAGUCCGCUGUGAAAGUCCAGGGCUCAACCCUGGAAAGCCGGUGGAUACUGUCGGGCUCGAGUCCGGAAGAGGCGAGUGGAAUUCCUGGUGUAGCGGUGGAAUGCGCAGAUAUCAGGAGGAACACCCGUAGCGAAGGCGGCACUCUGGGCCGAUACUGACACUGAGGAGCGAAAGCGUGGGGAGCGAACAGG
Molecule: ribosomal RNA, 253 nt
Filed under: uncultured bacterium
Lineage: Bacteria
Description: partial 16S ribosomal RNA
Rfam family: Bacterial small subunit ribosomal RNA
Source: RNAcentral